GUCGUCAGCUCGUGUCGUGAGAUGUUGGGUUAAGUCCCGCAACGAGCGCAACCCUUGUCCAUAGUUACUAACGCGUAGAGGCGAGGACUCUAUGGAGACCGCCGGGGACAACUCGGAGGAAGGUGGGGACGACGUCAAAUCAUCAUGCCCCUUAUGAUCUGGGCUACACACGUGCUACAAUGGCCGAGACAGAGAGGAGCGAAGGCGUGAGCCGGAGCGGAUCUCAAAAAAGCGGUCGAAGUUCGGAUUGUGGGCUGCAACCCGCCCACAUGAAGCCGGAGUUGCUAGUAAUCGCGGAUCAGCAUGCCGCGGUGAAUACGUUCCCGGG
This 328-nucleotide ribosomal RNA is filed under the name uncultured bacterium. RNAcentral describes it as "bacterial SSU rRNA". It matches the Rfam family "Bacterial small subunit ribosomal RNA", at positions 1051 to 1378 of the family's 1533-position model. RNAcentral also lists the same sequence under 1 other name. The record is from RNAcentral.